UUGAUAUGUGUUCAUUUUGUCAACAUACAAAACAUAUAUUUGUUUAUAUCGACUCUCAAUAUCAAAUGCAUUAAUUGAUCACAUGUGUCCUGCUAAUGUAUAUUUUAAAAGAUAUGCAAAGCGUUCCUCAAGUUUAUUGCAUGAUAAGCUUUACUAUUCACGAAGUUCAGGUUAUAAAUGAGAAAAGUAAACCGCAAUGUUUAUCAUGUGAUUUUUUAACAUAAAACUCAUAAUUUUCUAAAUUGUCUUAUCACGAAGCCAGCUUACUUCAGCAGAUCAAAUUUCAUGCAGAAAUUUAUUUCUUAUUCGAAGUAGGUCAAUCGAGCUUGACUAGUGGCACAAAGCGCAUUAAUAUUCCAGAAAAUGUAACGCGCUCUCUGAUUGGCUAGACAAUCUGUCAGUCAAAUUCGAAUAUUUCAUGGUACCUCACGGUAUUUUUGCCAUUAGCCGUGAAGGCUUUAAUUUAGACCCUACUGUUAAUCUGUGCUAGGAACCCGUUGUUGCUGAUUGUAGCAGCACGGAUCUUCCUGUGCUAAAGGCUCGAUCUCGGGCCUUCGGAUUCCCGAGUCGGCCAUCUUAUAUGUGAAAACCCCUGUUUAUUUGUCUUAAAUGCAGAAGGAGUAAAUACUUUAUUAAAACAAAAUGGCACCGGACAAAGUACGGUGGGCACUUUUUGUGUCUCUAUGCACCGUAGUUGGAUUAACACAGGCCCAAACUAAUCUGCAAGGAGAACGUGGAGAAAACAGCUUUGAAGAGGCUAGACCACAUGUGAGUCUCUAAUUUAUUCUUUAUUUCCCUUUGAUUCUAGUAGCAUUCGUGGGUAGUCGGUAGUUUCCGUAAGCUGGGCGAUUUUAAUUCGUCAGAAAUUUUCGCACUCAUUACUUUUCGUAACAAAGUCAACACAAGAAGUUUCGUUGGUAAUUUAGAUGAUGUAAUAGUGCAAAUAUUUAUACCCAGAAAAUAGGCAAAA
Molecule: RNA transcript, 970 nt
Organism: Ruditapes philippinarum (Manila clam)
Lineage: Eukaryota; Metazoa; Mollusca; Bivalvia; Venerida; Veneridae
Gene name: kielin/chordin-like protein
Exons: 2
Source: RefSeq, a predicted model, not a curated record